UCGCCUGUUUAUCAAAAACAUGGUUUCUUGUGUGGAUUAUAGGAAAUUUGGCCUGCCCACUGAAUUAAAAUUUGAAGGGCCGCGGUAUUUUGACUGUGCGAAGGUAGCGUAAUCAUUAGUCUUUUAAUUGGAGGCUGGUAUGAAUGGUUAGACGAGGUGAAGACUGUUUUAUAGUAAUUUUAGUAUUGAAGUUGGGAUUUAAGUAAAAAAACUUAAAUAAUGUUAAGGGACGAGAAGACCCUAUAGAGUUUAAUAAGUGUAAUUAUUAAUAGGGUUAUUAAGUGUUUAGUGUUUAUUAAGGUUAAUGCUUAUUUAAUUGGGGCGAUUAGAAGAUAAGUAAAACUCUUUUUUGUUUUUAAUAUGGAUGAAUAGAUUUUAGAUCCAUUAAGAUGAAUAGUGAUUGAAAGAUAAAAUUACCUUAGGGAUAACAGCAUAAUUUUUUUUGAGAGUUCUUAUCAAGAGAAAAGAUUGUGACCUCGAUGUUGGAUUAAGAUGAAUAUUGGGUGUAGAUGUUUAAUAUAUUGAGUCUGUUCGACUUUUAAAAUCUUACAUGAUCUGAGUUCAAACCGGAGA
This 573-nucleotide ribosomal RNA is filed under the name Oligonicella scudderi. RNAcentral describes it as "partial 16S ribosomal RNA". It matches the Rfam family "Bacterial large subunit ribosomal RNA", at positions 1796 to 2622 of the family's 2925-position model. The record is from RNAcentral. Lineage: Eukaryota; Metazoa; Arthropoda; Insecta; Mantodea; Thespidae.